This 1331-nucleotide ribosomal RNA is filed under the name Lactobacillus sp. Its description in RNAcentral is "bacterial SSU rRNA". It matches the Rfam family "Bacterial small subunit ribosomal RNA", at positions 91 to 1405 of the family's 1533-position model. Lineage: Bacteria; Bacillati; Bacillota; Bacilli; Lactobacillales; Lactobacillaceae. The record is from RNAcentral.
GUGAGUGGCGAACUGGUGAGUAACACGUGGGAAACCUGCCCAGAAGCGGGGGAUAACACCUGGAAACAGAUGCUAAUACCGCAUAACAACUUGGACCGCAUGGUCCGAGUUUGAAAGAUGGCUUCGGCUAUCACUUUUGGAUGGUCCCGCGGCGUAUUAGCUAGAUGGUGAGGUAACGGCUCACCAUGGCAAUGAUACGUAGCCGACCUGAGAGGGUAAUCGGCCACAUUGGGACUGAGACACGGCCCAAACUCCUACGGGAGGCAGCAGUAGGGAAUCUUCCACAAUGGACGAAAGUCUGAUGGAGCAACGCCGCGUGAGUGAAGAAGGGUUUCGGCUCGUAAAACUCUGUUGUUAAAGAAGAACAUAUCUGAGAGUAACUGUUCAGGUAUUGACGGUAUUUAACCAGAAAGCCACGGCUAACUACGUGCCAGCAGCCGCGGUAAUACGUAGGUGGCAAGCGUUGUCCGGAUUUAUUGGGCGUAAAGCGAGCGCAGGCGGUUUUUUAAGUCUGAUGUGAAAGCCUUCGGCUCAACCGAAGAAGUGCAUCGGAAACUGGGAAACUUGAGUGCAGAAGAGGACAGUGGAACUCCAUGUGUAGCGGUGAAAUGCGUAGAUAUAUGGAAGAACACCAGUGGCGAAGGCGGCUGUCUGGUCUGUAACUGACGCUGAGGCUCGAAAGUAUGGGUAGCAAACAGGAUUAGAUACCCUGGUAGUCCAUACCGUAAACGAUGAAUGCUAAGUGUUGGAGGGUUUCCGCCCUUCAGUGCUGCAGCUAACGCAUUAAGCAUUCCGCCUGGGGAGUACGGCCGCAAGGCUGAAACUCAAAGGAAUUGACGGGGGCCCGCACAAGCGGUGGAGCAUGUGGUUUAAUUCGAAGCUACGCGAAGAACCUUACCAGGUCUUGACAUACUAUGCAAAUCUAAGAGAUUAGACGUUCCCUUCGGGGACAUGGAUACAGGUGGUGCAUGGUUGUCGUCAGCUCGUGUCGUGAGAUGUUGGGUUAAGUCCCGCAACGAGCGCAACCCUUAUUAUCAGUUGCCAGCAUUAAGUUGGGCACUCUGGUGAGACUGCCGGUGACAAACCGGAGGAAGGUGGGGAUGACGUCAAAUCAUCAUGCCCCUUAUGACCUGGGCUACACACGUGCUACAAUGGAUGGUACAACGAGUUGCGAACUCGCGAGAGUAAGCUAAUCUCUUAAAGCCAUUCUCAGUUCGGAUUGUAGGCUGCAACUCGCCUACAUGAAGUCGGAAUCGCUAGUAAUCGCGGAUCAGCAUGCCGCGGGUGGAAUACGUUCCCGGGGCCUUGUACACACCGCCCCGUCACACCAU